RNAcentral lists this ribosomal RNA (254 nucleotides) under uncultured bacterium. RNAcentral's name for it is "partial 16S ribosomal RNA". It matches the Rfam family "Bacterial small subunit ribosomal RNA", at positions 524 to 776 of the family's 1533-position model. The record is from RNAcentral.
UACGUAGGAGGCGAGCGUUUGUCCGGAGUUACUGGGCGUAAAGGGUGCGCAGGUGGCCGUGCGCGUGGGGAGUGAAAUCGCCUGGCUUAACUGGGCGGGGGCUUUCCAGACGGCGCGGCUUGAGCCACAGAGGGGGGCGUGGAAUUCCGGGUGGAGCGGUGAAAUGCGUAGAUAUCAAGAGGAACACCUGAGGUGAAGACGGGUUGCUGGGCCGACACUGACGCUGAUGCGCGAAAGCCAGGGGAGCAAACGGG